Molecule: ribosomal RNA, 253 nt
Filed under: uncultured bacterium
Lineage: Bacteria
Description: partial 16S ribosomal RNA
Rfam family: Bacterial small subunit ribosomal RNA
Source: RNAcentral
UACGUAGGGUGCAAGCGUUAAUCGGAAUUACUGGGCGUAAAGCGUGCGCAGGCGGUCUUUUAAGUCAGAUGUGAAAUCCCCGGGCUUAACCUGGGAACUGCGUUUGAAACUGGAAGGCUAGAGUGUGGCAGAGGGGGGUGGAAUUCCACAUGUAGCAGUGAAAUGCGUAGAGAUGUGGAGGAACACCGAUGGCGAAGGCAGCCCCCUGGGCUGACACUGACGCUCAUGCACGAAAGCGUGGGGAGCAAACAGG